RNA transcript from Vitis vinifera (wine grape), 3480 nucleotides. It is a transcript of the gene named protein ORANGE-GREEN, chloroplastic, with no coding region annotated. The record is from RefSeq and is a predicted model, not a curated record. NCBI's taxonomy places the organism in Eukaryota, Viridiplantae, Streptophyta, Magnoliopsida, Vitales, Vitaceae. The transcript is spliced from 3 exons.
CCCUCGUCUCUGUCUCUCUCUCUCUCUGUGCAAAUUGUAGGGUUUUAAUCUGUGUAGAAACGAGAGCAAGCUCUAAGGGUUUUCAUAUUUCAAAAAACCCUAGCUUGGUUCCGAUUCUAUGCUGGUUACAAGAUUUCCUUGUGACAAAUUUGCAUCUUGCUCCUUCAUUGUCCAUUUGUCAUACCAGAUAAGCAGGAGCCACCAUAAUAUAGGUUUAAUUAUGACAUGAUGUGUGACGCAUGUCACGGCUGGUGCCAUGACUCGUGCCACGGCCCAUGCUAUGAUGCAUGAUGCAUGCCACAGCCGGACACGUGCCUCUGGGGGGCAGAGGCCCCUAUUGAGAGUCAGCAACCAGGCAACAGGCAAAGAAAGAAACUUAUGUACAUGGAAUUUUUCAGAACUGAGAAACUAUCACAGCCAGAAUUUUUUAGAGCCAAGAUAUAAAGAGCUUACUUCCAAUAGUCAAUUUUGUAGUCAUUCCUCUAGGAAAGUUCCAGUCUGUUUUGAUCAUUCUCCCAAUUUGUUAUCUGGUGAGACUUAUUCUGUUCUUCAAUCAAGUGGUUUUCAGCACUGGUUCAAGAACUGGCAAGAACAGAGAAAGCAUAAACUGACUGCAAGCACUUUUGGUGGGGCUGUUGGUUUUUGGCCUCGCCGAAGAGUCCAGCUCUGGUUAGAAAAGUUGGGGGCAACUAAGCCAUUCAGCGGAAACCUAGCUACUUGUUGGAGUAACAUUAAAGAAGAGGAAGCACUUGAAAGGUACAAGCUGAUAACAGGAAAUACUGUCCUGUUUCCUGAAUUUCAGGUCUAUGGUAAGAAAGAUCCAGAGGACAAUUGGCUUGCAGCUUCACCAGAUGGGAUAGUUGACAGUCUUGUCUAUGGAUUGCAUUCCAGAGGAGUGCUGGAGAUAAAGUGCCCUUUUUUUAAUGGAGAUAAGAGCAUAGCUUCACCUUGGUCUCGAGUUCCCCUUUAUUAUAUUCCCCAAGCUCAAGGUUUAAUGGAGAUAAUGGAUCGGGAUUGGAUGGAUUUCUAUGUUUGGACCCUUAAUGGAAGCAGUUUAUUCCGCUUAUACCGGGAUGCAGAAUAUUGGGAUGUUCUCAAAAUAGCAUUAUCUGACUUCUGGUUUAAGCAUGUGCUGCCAGCCAGAGAGUUGUGCCGUAAACAUGCGAUCAAUAGUCCUCUCACUGAAUUGCGAUCACUCAAGCCAGAACCGAGACAUGAAUUAUGUAGAUACAUAGUUUAUGAAAGUAAACGCAUUGUUGAUGACUCCAAAUUAUUGAUGCGAGAAAUUCAUGGGAAACUGCAAAAUUGAUGCAUAAAUGAUAUUUCAUUGGGUUUGGUUUGAUUAAAAGGGGAUAUCCAGAAUUCAGAUUGGAGGAGACUGUAGAGGAGAAAUCCAGUGGACCAAUUUUGGGCUUUUAAUUGGUGCAGUCUGAAGCUUGGAAUUGGUACCCAAGUAAUUGAGUAUCAUUGUUGUGUAAGUAAAAAUAAAUCAUUGGAGCUGUUGUUUGACUGAGUUAUAAAGACGAUAUAUUGCCAGAGAAAAAACAAAAUCCUGAUGCUGCAGGAAAGAGUGGAGAAAUACUCUCCAUAUGGGUUAAAAGAGGAUGGAUUGACUUCGCCCUCUAUAGUUUCUCCAAUUUAUGCAACAGCUUCUCCUUCCCAAUAGAACUGAUAACACACAAGGAAGCCUUAAAUCUAUGAUCUUCAUCAUUGGCAGGACUCCAGGAGAUGAGUUUUUGAUAAAUGUCUGGAGUACUAAUGUGGAUUUAAGUGGGAAAUUUUAACUGGAUGUGGGAACACACUUGGAACAAUCUGUGGAUGCCCUUAUUAUCAAAUGUACUGUCAUAUCAUUUAUUUUCAGUUGAGCUAAGUUUGAACCUUUGGGAUGCUUGUGCAAUGUGAUGCAGUAUGAGCUCAAAUUUCUCCAUCAAGCCUUGACCUUGCAGUUACUCAAACACUGGACUCAGAUGAAACUGGAAGGACAUGUUGUAUGUACAAAGUCUACCUAGAAACUCUUGUUAAUUCUUCUGACUCCAGGGAAGUGGGAACACACUUGGAACAAUCUGUGGAUGCCCUUAUUAUCAAAUGUACUGUCAUUUUGUUUAUUUUCAGUUGAGAUAAGUUGAAACCUUUGGGAUGCCUGUGCAAUGUGAUGCCAUAUGAGCUCAAAUUUCUCCAUCAAGCCCUGACCUUGCAGUUACUCGAAUGCUGGACUCAGAUGAAACUGGGAGGACAGGUUGUAUGUACGAAGUCUACCUAGAGUCACAUCCAUUGGGCUGAUAAUUUCUUAUUUAUCUUCACCAGAUCAGUUGAUUAAGAGGGGGUGGAGUCAUGACAAGUUAGUGUUGCUUGGCAAAGUGAUGAAGAGACAGAAAAUCAGCUACUAAUACGUUGUGAGGUAGGCUGUGGGAUUUGUUGGUUUCUGAUUCUUGCUUUGGAGUUGUUGGGUGAUGCCUAGCUCAGCAAGUGAACUACUCAUAGCAUAGUCUGGUAUUUACAAAGAGGUGGAGUGGACCUUUGAGGGGGCAAACCCUUUGGGGCCUUUUUUGUUCCAAUUUUUUUUUUUUUUUUUUUUUUGAGAAAAAUCAGAUUCAAUUUUUGUUUUUGUUUUUGUAAUUAUUUUCACUUUAUUUCAGUAUGAAAAUAUUUUUCAGAUUUUAUGAAUUUCCAAACCAUAAGGAACAUGCUCCACUCAAGUUCAAAAAAAUCCCAUUCGGAUUGAACCAAUCAUGUUCUUCCACGUGGAUACCACUUCCAUUUCCACCAUACCUUAAUGCUAAUAUAUAUAAAAAAUAAAAUAAAAUAAUAAUAACAAAUUGAAAGAUGUCCAGUGAGCACACAAGAAAUCUGUGCUCCUACGAACAGAGAAUGUGUAGGAACUAAGAACGAAGGGAACUUUGUGUUUGGCAAGAGAGAAACUGAGGAAAGUGAGAGAAAGAAAGUAGAGAGCUGUGUAAUUUCUAGAGAGAGAGAGGAGAGCUGUGUGAUUAGAAGAUGGUUUAUACUGGUCGAAUUUUGGCGGUUUCGUACUCUCCAACGACGUCUUAUCGGUACUCAAACUCCAGAUUUCAUCAAGGAAAGCUCAAAUCGGAUCUGAAAUGGCGAGCCAUGGUGUCUGGGCCGGAGGCUUCUGCUUUUGCACCUUCGGUCGAUUCCGAAUCUGCUGAUAAAAACGACACUGGGUAUUUCCAACUUGAAUUUUUUUUCCUCUCUAUCUCUUUCUAUAUAUAUGUUCUGUCCUCUAUUGGAAGAAAAAGAAGAAUUGGGAAGUGAAAGAGGAGAUAUUUUGGUUCCAAGAACAUUGGCUUUGGCAGAAGAACAACUCAGGACUUGUUUGGCGGUGUUCCUUUGAGAAGAUGAAAACCACUGAAUAUGUUUAUUUUUAGAUUGCUUUCAAUUGUUUAAGUGCUUGAAUUUUUUAGGAUGUGAAAAACUAUGAAAACAAACCAUUUAUCAAAUAAGUUUUCUAUGUUAUUUCAA